UACAGAGGUCUCAAGCGUUGUUCGGAUUUACUGGGCGUAAAGGGCGCGUAGGCGGCAUGACAAGUCACUUGUGAAAUCUCCGGGCUUAACCCGGAACUGCCAAGUGAUACUGUCGCGCUAGAGUGCGGAAGGGGCAAUCGGAAUUCUCGGUGUAGCGGUGAAAUGCGUAGAUAUCGAGAGGAACACCUGAGGUGAAGACGGGUUGCUGGGCCGACACUGACGCUGAGUGCGCGAAAGCCAGGGGAGCAAACGGG
This 254-nucleotide ribosomal RNA is filed under the name uncultured prokaryote. RNAcentral describes it as "partial 16S ribosomal RNA". It matches the Rfam family "Bacterial small subunit ribosomal RNA", at positions 524 to 776 of the family's 1533-position model. The record is from RNAcentral.